Motacilla alba alba is the source of this 237-nucleotide long non-coding RNA. RefSeq lists it as uncharacterized. The record is from RefSeq and is a predicted model, not a curated record. The transcript is spliced from 3 exons. Lineage: Eukaryota; Metazoa; Chordata; Aves; Passeriformes; Motacillidae.
CUGGCCUGCAGCUGGGCCCGGCGCGACGCCGACAGCUGGUCCCGGUACUUCUUGCACUGCCGAGGGAGGGGACGAUUUGGUGCCACCAAAGCCCUCUCGGGAACCUGUAGGGCGCCGGGGGCCAGGUCCUGUCUGUCACCGACAGCGGCGGGAGGUUCUUUGCCAGCCCCACCAGGUCCUGCGUGCCUGCGGGGACAGCGCCAGCGGUGAGGACACCGGACAUCACCACCAGCCCCA